Molecule: ribosomal RNA, 1007 nt
Filed under: Campylobacter coli
Lineage: Bacteria; Pseudomonadati; Campylobacterota; Epsilonproteobacteria; Campylobacterales; Campylobacteraceae
Description: partial 23S ribosomal RNA
Rfam family: Bacterial large subunit ribosomal RNA
Source: RNAcentral
AAAGGUAAGCUACUAAGAGCGAAUGGUGGAUGCCUUGACUGGUAAAGGCGAUGAAGGACGUACUAGACUGCGAUAAGCUACGGGGAGCUGUCAAGAAGCUUUGAUCCGUAGAUUUCCGAAUGGGGCAACCCAAUGUAUAGAGAUAUACAUUACCUAUAUAGGAGCGAACGAGGGGAAUUGAAACAUCUUAGUACCCUCAGGAAAAGAAAUCAAUAGAGAUUGCGUCAGUAGCGGCGAGCGAAAGCGCAAGAGGGCAAACCCAGUGCUUGCACUGGGGGUUGUAGGACUGCAAUGUGCAAGAGGUAAGUUUAGCAGAACAUUCUGGAAAGUAUAGCCAUAGAGGGUGAUAGUCCCGUAUGCGAAAAACAAACCUUAGCUAGCAGUAUCCUGAGUAGGGCGGGACACGAGGAAUCCUGUCUGAAUCUGGGUCGACCACGAUCCAACCCUAAAUACUAAUACCAGAUCGAUAGUGCACAAGUACCGUGAGGGAAAGGUGAAAAGAACUGAGGUGAUCAGAGUGAAAUAGAACCUGAAACCAUUUGCUUACAAUCAUUCAGAGCCCUAUGUAGCAAUACAGGGUGAUGGACUGCCUUUUGCAUAAUGAGCCUGCGAGUUGUGGUGUCUGGCAAGGUUAAGCAAACGCGAAGCCGUAGCGAAAGCGAGUCUGAAUAGGGCGCUUAGUCAGAUGCUGCAGACCCGAAACGAAGUGAUCUAUCCAUGAGCAAGUUGAAGCUAGUGUAAGAACUAGUGGAGGACUGAACCCAUAGGCGUUGAAAAGCCCCGGGAUGACUUGUGGAUAGGGGUGAAAGGCCAAUCAAACUUCGUGAUAGCUGGUUCUCUCCGAAAUAUAUUUAGGUAUAGCGUUGUGUCGUAAUAUAAGGGGGUAGAGCACUGAAUGGGCUAGGGCAUACACCAAUGUACCAAACCCUAUCAAACUCCGAAUACCUUAUAUGUAAUCACAGCAGUCAGGCGGCGAGUGAUAAAAUCCGUCGUCAAGAGGGAAACAA